Molecule: ribosomal RNA, 496 nt
Filed under: uncultured bacterium
Lineage: Bacteria
Description: partial 16S ribosomal RNA
Rfam family: Bacterial small subunit ribosomal RNA
Source: RNAcentral
GAUGAACGCUGGCGGCGUGCCUAAUACAUGCAAGUCGAGCGAACAGACGAGGAGCUUGCUCCUCUGACGUUAGCGGCGGACGGGUGAGUAACACGUGGAUAACCUACCUAUAAGACUGGGAUAACUUCGGGAAACCGGAGCUAAUACCGGAUAAUAUGUUGAAUCGCAUGGUUCAACAGUGAAAGACGGUCUUGCUGUCACUUAUAGAUGGAUCCGCGCCGCAUUAGCUAGUUGGUAAGGUAACGGCUUACCAAGGCAACGAUGCGUAGCCGACCUGAGAGGGUGAUCGGCCACACUGGAACUGAGACACGGUCCAGACUCCUACGGGAGGCAGCAGUAGGGAAUCUUCAGCAAUGGGCGAAAGCCUGACGGAGCAACGCCGCGUGAGUGAAGAAGGUCUUCGGAUCGUAAAACUCUGUUAUUAGGGAAGAACAAAUGUGUAAGUAACUAUGCACGUCUUGACGGUACCUAAGCAGAAAGCCACGGCUAACUACGU